UACAGAGGGUGCGAGCGUUAAUCGGAGUGACUGGGCGUAAAGGGCACGUAGGCGGUUUAUUUAGUCUGAUGUGAAAUAACUAGGCUUAACCUGGUAUCUGCAUUGGAAACGGAUAAGCUAGAGUAUUGGAGAGGGAAGUGGAAUUUCCGGUGUAGCGGUGAAAUGCGUAGAGAUCGGAAAGAACACUCGUGGCGAAGGCGACUUCCUGGCCAAAUACUGACGCUGAGGUGCGAAAGCGUGGGUAGCAAACAGG
This 253-nucleotide ribosomal RNA is filed under the name uncultured bacterium. Its description in RNAcentral is "partial 16S ribosomal RNA". It matches the Rfam family "Bacterial small subunit ribosomal RNA", at positions 524 to 776 of the family's 1533-position model. The record is from RNAcentral.